GUGUCAGCAGCCGCGGUAAGACGGAGGGGGCGAGCGUUGUUCGGAAUUACUGGGCGUAAAGGGCGCGUAGGCGGUUAGAUAAGUCGGGUGUGAAAUCCUUCGGCUCAACUGAAGGACUGCGCUCGAAACUGUCUGUCUAGGGUACAGGAGAGGAGAGUGGAAUUCCCAGUGUAGCGGUGAAAUGCGUAGAUAUUGGGAGGAACACCAGUGGCGAAGGCGACUCUCUGGCCUGAUACCGACGCUGAUGCGCGAAAGCCAGGGGAGCGAACGGGAUUAGAUACCCCGGUAGUCCUGGCCGUAAACGUUGGGCACUAGGUGUAGGAGGUAUCGACCCCUUCUGUGCCGAAGCUAACGCAUUAAGUGCCCCGCCUGGGGAGUACGGUCGCAAGGCUGAAACUUAAAGGAAUUGGCGGGG
This 415-nucleotide ribosomal RNA is filed under the name uncultured prokaryote. RNAcentral describes it as "bacterial SSU rRNA". It matches the Rfam family "Bacterial small subunit ribosomal RNA", at positions 505 to 918 of the family's 1533-position model. The record is from RNAcentral.